This 390-nucleotide ribosomal RNA is filed under the name uncultured Propionibacterium sp. RNAcentral's name for it is "bacterial SSU rRNA". It matches the Rfam family "Bacterial small subunit ribosomal RNA", at positions 958 to 1347 of the family's 1533-position model. The record is from RNAcentral. Lineage: Bacteria; Bacillati; Actinomycetota; Actinomycetes; Propionibacteriales; Propionibacteriaceae.
AACGCGAAGAACCUUACCUGGGUUUGACAUGGAUCGGGAGUGCUCAGAGAUGGGUGUGCCUCUUUUGGGGUCGGUUCACAGGUGGUGCAUGGCUGUCGUCAGCUCGUGUCGUGAGAUGUUGGGUUAAGUCCCGCAACGAGCGCACCCUUGUUCACUGUUGCCAGCACGUUAUGGUGGGGACUCAGUGGAGACUGCCGGGGUCAACUCGGAGGAAGGUGGGGAUGACGUCAAGUCAUCAUGCCCCUUAUGUCCAGGGCUUCACGCAUGCUACAAUGGCUGGUACAGAGAGUGGCGAGCCUGUGAGGGUGAGCGAAUCUCGGAAAGCCGGUCUCAGUUCGGAUUGGGGUCUGCAACUCGACCUCAUGAAGUCGGAGUCGCUAGUAAUCGCAG